GCAGAGGCUUGAUUGAGUGCAGCGUUGAUGAACCCCUCUGCGCCCAGGCCGGCCAUGGAACGCGGGGGGUUCUUCGACCCUGCACCCAAUCACGCCUCUGCU
Non-coding RNA from Brachypodium distachyon (stiff brome), 102 nucleotides. The record is from RefSeq and is marked provisional. Lineage: Eukaryota; Viridiplantae; Streptophyta; Magnoliopsida; Poales; Poaceae.